GUAGGUGGCAAGCGUUGUCCGGAAUUAUUGGGCGUAAAGCGCGCGCAGGCGGUUCUUUAAGUCUGAUGUGAAAGCCCACGGCUCAACCGUGGAGGGUCAUUGGAAACUGGAGAACUUGAGUACAGAAGAGGAAAGCGGAAUUCCACGUGUAGCGGUGAAAUGCGUAGAGAUGUGGAGGAACACCAGUGGCGAGGGCGGCUUUCUGGUCUGUAACUGACGCUGAGGCGCGAAAGCGUGGGGAGCAAACAGGGAUUAGAUACCCUGGUAGUCCACGCCGUAAACGAUGAGUGCUAAGUGUUAGGGGGUUUCCGCCCCCUUAGUGCUGCAGCUAACGCAUUAAGCACUCCGCCUGGGGAUACGGCCGCAAGGCUG
This 372-nucleotide ribosomal RNA is filed under the name uncultured organism. Its description in RNAcentral is "partial 16S ribosomal RNA". It matches the Rfam family "Bacterial small subunit ribosomal RNA", at positions 527 to 896 of the family's 1533-position model. The record is from RNAcentral.